RNAcentral lists this long non-coding RNA (1053 nucleotides) under Homo sapiens (human). RNAcentral describes it as "non-protein coding lnc-MMP21-2:1". The record is from RNAcentral. Lineage: Eukaryota; Metazoa; Chordata; Mammalia; Primates; Hominidae.
AGAAGGAGAAACCUGUGGAAAUGCAGAAAAGCUUGCAGAAUAUAUUUGUUCCAGGGAGUCCUCAGCACUGCCUCUUCUAUUUCCCUGUGGAAACCUCAAAAGAGAAAUCCUGCCAAAAGCGCUCAAGGACAAAGGGAUUGCCAUGGAAAGCAUAACUGUGUAUCAGACAGUUGCACACCCAGGAAUCCAAGGGAACCUGAACAGCUACUAUUCCCAGCAGGGGGUUCCAGCCAGCAUCACAUUUUUUAGUCCCUCUGGCCUCACAUACAGUCUCAAGCACAUUCAGGAGUUAUCUGGUGACAAUAUCGAUCAAAUUAAGAAACACCCUUGAACUGGCUCCAGAGGGACUGAGGAGAGGGUGCAGGAUGUGACCCAGAGCCCAAGGACAGACACUGCCACUCACUGCAGUCAGGAAGAGCAAAAGGCUUCACCUGCCUUCUCACAGGUGCAUCUCAUGUGGGGAGUAUGCACCGCUCUCCCAGUUUUAAAGAUGGAGCACGGGGCUCAGAGACAUCAUAUGGCCUGUCUGUAGGUCACACUGCUGAGAAGGAAGAGCUGCAGUUGAACCUGGGAAGACUGAUUCCACAUUGUCAGCCAUGGUGAUGCCUUGCCAUGGUCUCAGGAGCUGCUGAGCAGUUGAUGCACUUCUGGGCAGUAACUGAUACAAUUCUCACACCAGUCCAGUGGUGGGUAUCCAGAAAAAGAGGUCAGUGUUCCUCAUUACAGGUGAGGACACUGAGGGCUAGAGAGGUGAAACAACUUGCCAAAGUCAUGUUUUGAGUUCCUAGAAGGCCCAGGACUCACACAGGUCACCGAGGAAGAAAAACAAUAUCUGAAUCUUGUGGUUAGAAAGAUUAGAGAGAGGCCGGGCGCUGUGGCUCCCACCUGGAAUCCCAGCACUUUGGGAGGCCUCAGGCGGAUCACCUGAGGUCAGGUGUUCCAGACCAGCCUGUCCAAUAUGAUGAAAACCCCGUCUUUACUAAAAAUAUAAAAAUUAGCUGGGCAUGGUGGCAUGCGCCUAUAAUCCCAGCUACAUGGGAGGCUGAGACAGGA